RNAcentral lists this long non-coding RNA (251 nucleotides) under Salvia miltiorrhiza (redroot sage). RNAcentral describes it as "long non-coding RNA (SMIL_LNC013154)". The record is from RNAcentral. Lineage: Eukaryota; Viridiplantae; Streptophyta; Magnoliopsida; Lamiales; Lamiaceae.
GCGGCGGAGUCGAGAGGGGAGAGAGAGAGUCGAGAGAGACAGGGAGGACGCAGGAGGAGGCAGGGAGAUUAGAUGUGAGAGACGAAGGAAACUAGGGCUUCUAGUUUCUAAAUUUCCUAAAUAAAAUCUAUUUUUUUUCUUUUUUUCAGUUUUAAUAUUCAAUUUUUGGUAUUUAGAUUUUAUAUAAGUGUUACUUAAUGAUAAAACAAAAAAAUGUUAUGAUUUUUUUAUUUUUCAAAGUCUAUAUCUAG